Molecule: ribosomal RNA, 263 nt
Filed under: uncultured bacterium
Lineage: Bacteria
Description: partial 16S ribosomal RNA
Rfam family: Bacterial small subunit ribosomal RNA
Source: RNAcentral
GUCCACGCCCUAAACGAUGUCAACUAGGUGUUGGGAGGGUAAACCUUUAGUACCGGAGCUAACGCGUGAAGUUGACCGCCUGGGGAGUACGGCCGCAAGGUUAAAACUCAAAGGAAUUGACGGGGACCCGCACAAGCGGUGGAUGAUGUGGAUUAAUUCGAUGCAACGCGAAAACCUUACCUACCCUUGACAUGUCCGGAAGCCCUUAGAGAUUUGGGUGUGCUCGAAAGAGAGCCGGAACACAGGUGCUGCAUGGCUGUCGU